UACGGAGGGUGCAAGCGUUAAUCGGAAUUACUGGGCGUAAAGCGCACGCAGGUGGCUGAGUCAGUCGAUUGUGAAAGCCCUGGGCUUAACCUGGGAAUUGCAGUCGAUACUACUCAGCUAGAGUAUGGGAGAGGGCAGUGGAAUUCCCGGUGUAGUGGUGGAAUGCGUAGAUAUCGGGAGGAACACCAGUGGCGAAGGCGGUUGCCUGGGGCUUUGCUGACGCUGAGGCGCGAAAGCGUGGGGAGCAAACAGG
This 253-nucleotide ribosomal RNA is filed under the name uncultured bacterium. RNAcentral describes it as "partial 16S ribosomal RNA". It matches the Rfam family "Bacterial small subunit ribosomal RNA", at positions 524 to 776 of the family's 1533-position model. The record is from RNAcentral.